AGGGGCAUCAGGAAGAAAGCUUGCUUUCUUUGCUGGCGACCGGCGCACGGGUGAGUAACACGUAUCCAACCUGCCCUUUACUCGGGGAUAGCCUUUCGAAAGAAAGAUUAAUACCCGAUAGCAUAAUGAUUCCGCAUGGUUUCAUUAUUAAAGGAUUCCGGUAAAGGAUGGGGAUGCGUUCCAUUAGGUUGUUGGUGAGGUAACGGCUCACCAAGCCUUCGAUGGAUAGGGGUUCUGAGAGGAAGGUCCCCCACAUUGGAACUGAGACACGGUCCAAACUCCUACGGGAGGCAGCAGUGAGGAAUAUUGGUCAAUGGGCGCUAGCCUGAACCAGCCAAGUAGCGUGAAGGAUGAAGGCUCUAUGGGUCGUAAACUUCUUUUAUAUAAGAAUAAAGUGCAGUAUGUAUACUGUUUUGUAUGUAUUAUAUGAAUAAGGAUCGGCUAACUCCGUGCCAGCAGCCGCGGUAAUACGGAGGAUCCGAGCGUUAUCCGGAUUUAUUGGGUUUAAAGGGAGCGUAGGUGGACUGGUAAGUCAGUUGUGAAAGUUUGCGGCUCAACCGUAAAAUUGCAGUUGAUACUGUCAGUCUUGAGUACAGUAGAGGUGGGCGGAAUUCGUGGUGUAGCGGUGAAAUGCUUAGAUAUCACGAAGAACUCCGAUUGCGAAGGC
This 667-nucleotide ribosomal RNA is filed under the name uncultured Bacteroidales bacterium. RNAcentral's name for it is "bacterial SSU rRNA". It matches the Rfam family "Bacterial small subunit ribosomal RNA", at positions 65 to 722 of the family's 1533-position model. Lineage: Bacteria; Pseudomonadati; Bacteroidota; Bacteroidia; Bacteroidales. The record is from RNAcentral.